Molecule: ribosomal RNA, 1146 nt
Filed under: Triticum aestivum (bread wheat)
Lineage: Eukaryota; Viridiplantae; Streptophyta; Magnoliopsida; Poales; Poaceae
Description: partial small subunit ribosomal RNA
Source: RNAcentral
AUGACUCAUGAAUUUAAUUUUUCUAAAUUUAGUAGACAACACCGUGAAGAAGAAUUACCUAGUAAGGAUGAAAUUAUUGGUCUUACUUCUAUUGCUGUACCUCCUAGUGAUCCUUUAGAACAAUAUUUGCUAAACCAUGAAAAUGAUAUGUUUAUGAAUGAAAGAAGGGAAUUAGAUGAAGUAUUCUUUAAACAGGAACCUAUUCUGAAAAACAAUUUACCUAUUGAAAUCCUAGGGGAUCCUCCUCCACCCAAGGGUGAUCCCGUGUUUGAGCUUAAACCGUUACCUGAUACUCUUAAAUAUGCUUAUCUUGAUGAGAAAAAGAUAUGUCCUGUUAUUAUUAGUGCUAACCUUUCAGAGCAUGAAGAAGAGAGAUUACUAAAAACUCUGAAGAAGCACCGUGCUGCUAUUGGGUAUACUCUUGAUGAUCUUAAGGGCAUUAGUCCCACUCUAUGUCAACAUAAAAUUAAUUUGGAAGAAGAUGCUAAACCAUUUUGUGAUCAUCAACGCCAUCUGAAUCCUAAAAUGAAAGAAGUGGUAAGAAAGGAGAUACUAAAGCUCCUUGAGGCAGGUAUAAUUUAUCCCGUUGCUGAUAGUAAGUGGGUAAGUCCUGUCCAUUGUGUCCCUAAGAAGGGAGGUAUUACUGUUGUUCCUAAUGAUAAAGAUGAAUUGAUUCCUCAAAUAAUUAUUAUUGGUUAUAGGAUGGUAAUUGAUUUCCGCAAAUUAAAUAAGGCUACUAAAAAGGAUCAUUACCCCUUACCUUUUAUCGAUCAAAUGCUAGAAAGAUUGUUUAAACAUACACAUUUUUGCUUUCUAGAUGGUUAUUCUUGUUUCUCUCAAAUACCUGUGUCAGCCAAAGAUCAAUCAAAGACUACGUUUACAUGCCCUUUUGGUACUUUUGCUUAUAGACGUAUGCCUUUUGGUUUAUGUAAUGCAUCUACUACCUUUCAAAGAUGCAUGAUGGCUAUAUUCUCUGACUUUUGUGAAAAGAUUUGUGAGGUUUUCAUGGACGACUUUUCUGUUUAUGGAUCUUCUUUUGAUGAUUGCUUGAGAAACCUUGAUCGAGUUUUGCAGAGAUGUGAAGAAACUAAUCUUGUCUUGAAUUGGGAAAAGUGCCACUUUAUGGUUAAUGAAGGUAUUGUCUUG